RNAcentral lists this long non-coding RNA (492 nucleotides) under Carica papaya (papaya). RNAcentral describes it as "long non-coding RNA (CPAP_LNC005491)". The record is from RNAcentral. Lineage: Eukaryota; Viridiplantae; Streptophyta; Magnoliopsida; Brassicales; Caricaceae.
AGAACCAAAACUAACAGUAAAGCAGGUAAGCAGGAACCUGUUUGGCUGAUAAAAGUUCACGGCAUUGCUCUUUCAAGGUCAGAACAUCUUCCUGUACCUUCUUUAUCCUAUAUAACAGCUUCAUUGGAUUUGCCUACCACGAACAACUCACCCUUAAAGUUCACUUGCAAAAAAGAGAUCCCGAACUGAAUUAGAAUUUAAAGCGUAAUCAGAAAUUAGGUUCGCUUACAUUAUUAGGAUAAAUUUGCUGAAACUCCUUCUCCAGCUUGUAGUGAACCACAGAGAGAUCAUGGUUCGCUUUGGUGAACAGAUUCACCAAAGUAUCCAUAGCUUGGUGAUGAUUCUGUUGACGAAGGUGAUGAUCCAUCCUCCGUCGCUCUGAAGUAACUUUUCUCUCCCUCCUAGGGUUUCUUUUUUGUUAAUUUUAGAUUGCAGAUGAUAUUUUCCCGCUCCUGUUAACUUUUGGUUUCCCAGGGACUAAAGAAAAAGGCG